Molecule: ribosomal RNA, 2921 nt
Filed under: Staphylococcus aureus HIF003_B2N-C
Lineage: Bacteria; Bacillati; Bacillota; Bacilli; Caryophanales; Staphylococcaceae
Description: bacterial LSU rRNA
Rfam family: Bacterial large subunit ribosomal RNA
Source: RNAcentral
UUAAGUUAUUAAGGGCGCACGGUGGAUGCCUUGGCACUAGAAGCCGAUGAAGGACGUUACUAACGACGAUAUGCUUUGGGGAGCUGUAAGUAAGCUUUGAUCCAGAGAUUUCCGAAUGGGGAAACCCAGCAUGAGUUAUGUCAUGUUAUCGAUAUGUGAAUACAUAGCAUAUCAGAAGGCACACCCGGAGAACUGAAACAUCUUAGUACCCGGAGGAAGAAAAAGAAAAUUCGAUUCCCUUAGUAGCGGCGAGCGAAACGGGAAGAGCCCAAACCAACAAGCUUGCUUGUUGGGGUUGUAGGACACUCUAUACGGAGUUACAAAAGAACAUGUUAGACGAAUCAUCUGGAAAGAUGAAUCAAAGAAGGUAAUAAUCCUGUAGUCGAAAAUGUUGUCUCUCUUGAGUGGAUCCUGAGUACGACGGAGCACGUGAAAUUCCGUCGGAAUCUGGGAGGACCAUCUCCUAAGGCUAAAUACUCUCUAGUGACCGAUAGUGAACCAGUACCGUGAGGGAAAGGUGAAAAGCACCCCGGAAGGGGAGUGAAAUAGAACCUGAAACCGUGUGCUUACAAGUAGUCAGAGCCCGUUAAUGGGUGAUGGCGUGCCUUUUGUAGAAUGAACCGGCGAGUUACGAUUUGAUGCAAGGUUAAGCAGUAAAUGUGGAGCCGUAGCGAAAGCGAGUCUGAAUAGGGCGUUUAGUAUUUGGUCGUAGACCCGAAACCAGGUGAUCUACCCUUGGUCAGGUUGAAGUUCAGGUAACACUGAAUGGAGGACCGAACCGACUUACGUUGAAAAGUGAGCGGAUGAACUGAGGGUAGCGGAGAAAUUCCAAUCGAACCUGGAGAUAGCUGGUUCUCUCCGAAAUAGCUUUAGGGCUAGCCUCAAGUGAUGAUUAUUGGAGGUAGAGCACUGUUUGGACGAGGGGCCCCUCUCGGGUUACCGAAUUCAGACAAACUCCGAAUGCCAAUUAAUUUAACUUGGGAGUCAGAACAUGGGUGAUAAGGUCCGUGUUCGAAAGGGAAACAGCCCAGACCACCAGCUAAGGUCCCAAAAUAUAUGUUAAGUGGAAAAGGAUGUGGCGUUGCCCAGACAACUAGGAUGUUGGCUUAGAAGCAGCCAUCAUUUAAAGAGUGCGUAAUAGCUCACUAGUCGAGUGACACUGCGCCGAAAAUGUACCGGGGCUAAACAUAUUACCGAAGCUGUGGAUUGUCCUUUGGACAAUGGUAGGAGAGCGUUCUAAGGGCGUUGAAGCAUGAUCGUAAGGACAUGUGGAGCGCUUAGAAGUGAGAAUGCCGGUGUGAGUAGCGAAAGACGGGUGAGAAUCCCGUCCACCGAUUGACUAAGGUUUCCAGAGGAAGGCUCGUCCGCUCUGGGUUAGUCGGGUCCUAAGCUGAGGCCGACAGGCGUAGGCGAUGGAUAACAGGUUGAUAUUCCUGUACCACCUAUAAUCGUUUUAAUCGAUGGGGGGACGCAGUAGGAUAGGCGAAGCGUGCGAUUGGAUUGCACGUCUAAGCAGUAAGGCUGAGUAUUAGGCAAAUCCGGUACUCGUUAAGGCUGAGCUGUGAUGGGGAGAAGACAUUGUGUCUUCGAGUCGUUGAUUUCACACUGCCGAGAAAAGCCUCUAGAUAGAAAAUAGGUGCCCGUACCGCAAACCGACACAGGUAGUCAAGAUGAGAAUUCUAAGGUGAGCGAGCGAACUCUCGUUAAGGAACUCGGCAAAAUGACCCCGUAACUUCGGGAGAAGGGGUGCUCUUUAGGGUUAACGCCCAGAAGAGCCGCAGUGAAUAGGCCCAAGCGACUGUUUAUCAAAAACACAGGUCUCUGCUAAACCGUAAGGUGAUGUAUAGGGGCUGACGCCUGCCCGGUGCUGGAAGGUUAAGAGGAGUGGUUAGCUUCUGCGAAGCUACGAAUCGAAGCCCCAGUAAACGGCGGCCGUAACUAUAACGGUCCUAAGGUAGCGAAAUUCCUUGUCGGGUAAGUUCCGACCCGCACGAAAGGCGUAACGAUUUGGGCACUGUCUCAACGAGAGACUCGGUGAAAUCAUAGUACCUGUGAAGAUGCAGGUUACCCGCGACAGGACGGAAAGACCCCGUGGAGCUUUACUGUAGCCUGAUAUUGAAAUUCGGCACAGCUUGUACAGGAUAGGUAGGAGCCUUUGAAACGUGAGCGCUAGCUUACGUGGAGGCGCUGGUGGGAUACUACCCUAGCUGUGUUGGCUUUCUAACCCGCACCACUUAUCGUGGUGGGAGACAGUGUCAGGCGGGCAGUUUGACUGGGGCGGUCGCCUCCUAAAAGGUAACGGAGGCGCUCAAAGGUUCCCUCAGAAUGGUUGGAAAUCAUUCAUAGAGUGUAAAGGCAUAAGGGAGCUUGACUGCGAGACCUACAAGUCGAGCAGGGUCGAAAGACGGACUUAGUGAUCCGGUGGUUCCGCAUGGAAGGGCCAUCGCUCAACGGAUAAAAGCUACCCCGGGGAUAACAGGCUUAUCUCCCCCAAGAGUUCACAUCGACGGGGAGGUUUGGCACCUCGAUGUCGGCUCAUCGCAUCCUGGGGCUGUAGUCGGUCCCAAGGGUUGGGCUGUUCGCCCAUUAAAGCGGUACGCGAGCUGGGUUCAGAACGUCGUGAGACAGUUCGGUCCCUAUCCGUCGUGGGCGUAGGAAAUUUGAGAGGAGCUGUCCUUAGUACGAGAGGACCGGGAUGGACAUACCUCUGGUGUACCAGUUGUCGUGCCAACGGCAUAGCUGGGUAGCUAUGUGUGGACGGGAUAAGUGCUGAAAGCAUCUAAGCAUGAAGCCCCCCUCAAGAUGAGAUUUCCCAACUUCGGUUAUAAGAUCCCUCAAAGAUGAUGAGGUUAAUAGGUUCGAGGUGGAAGCAUGGUGACAUGUGGAGCUGACGAAUACUAAUCGAUCGAAGACUUAAUCAA